AUAGUUACGUGACAGGGCAGAUAGCAUGACGGCAAAGGCAGUGUUCACCAGAGGAGGUUUUUCCAUUGCGCUCUGGAUGUGCUGACCCUGAGGUUUCCCCCGGAAUAGGAAACUCAACUUCAUAACUUGUGGUAAUGAGGGCUGUGCUCUCCCAUG
Rattus norvegicus (Norway rat) is the source of this 156-nucleotide small nuclear RNA. Ensembl annotates it as U1 spliceosomal RNA. The record is from Ensembl. NCBI's taxonomy places the organism in Eukaryota, Metazoa, Chordata, Mammalia, Rodentia, Muridae.